UCAAGUUUAACUCCAGAAAUUUUCAAAUCUUGAUAGGAUCUUACACAUGUUAAUGUGAGCUUCCAGUUUAAAUUUCAUGGUCAUCGAAGUUAUAGAACUCCGAUUAUGGCGUUUUUCGUCGGAAAAACCUAAAUAUUGAAAUGGUCAUAAUUUGUUCAUUUUAAGUCGGAAUGAGCUCAUUUUUGGACAAGAGGUACCUUAUACUGUAUACUUUCAUGUCCCAAAAG
This 227-nucleotide long non-coding RNA is filed under the name Panax ginseng (ginseng). RNAcentral's name for it is "long non-coding RNA (PGIN_LNC014472)". Lineage: Eukaryota; Viridiplantae; Streptophyta; Magnoliopsida; Apiales; Araliaceae. The record is from RNAcentral.